This 1043-nucleotide ribosomal RNA is filed under the name uncultured Acidobacteriota bacterium. Its description in RNAcentral is "bacterial SSU rRNA". It matches the Rfam family "Bacterial small subunit ribosomal RNA", at positions 342 to 1383 of the family's 1533-position model. The record is from RNAcentral. Lineage: Bacteria; Pseudomonadati; Acidobacteriota.
CGGGAGGCAGCAGUCGGGAAUUUUGGGCAAUGGGCGAAAGCUGACCCAGCAACGCCGCGUGAAGGAUGAAAUCCCUCGGGAUGUAAACUUCGCAAGAACAGGAAGAAUAAGUGGGAGUUAAUAUCUCUCACGAUGACGGUACUGUUUGUAAGCUCCGGCUAACUCCGUGCCAGCAGCCGCGGUAAUACGGGGGGAGCAAGCGUUGUUCGGAUUACUGGGCGUAAAGGGCGCGUAGGCGGCCACCGCAAGUCGACUGUGAAAUCUCUGGGCUUAACCCAGAACGGUCAGCCGAUACUGCGGGGCUAGAGUGCAGAAGGGGCAACUGGAAUUCUCGGUGUAGCGGUGAAAUGCGUAGAUAUCGAGAGGAACACCUGCGGCGAAGGCGGGUUGCUGGGCUGACACUGACGCUGAGGCGCGAAAGCUAGGGGAGCGAACGGGAUUAGAUACCCCGGUAGUCCUAGCCUUAAACGAUGAAUGCUUGGUGUCUGGGGUUUUAUAGUCCCCGGGUGCCGUCGCUAACGCUUUAAGCAUUCCGCCUGGGGAGUACGGUCGCAAGACUGAAACUCAAAGGAAUUGACGGGGACCCCACAGCGGUGGAGCAUGUGGUUUAAUUCGACGCAACGCGAAGAACCUACCUGGGCUAGAAGCCUCUACGGCGUAGAGAUACGCCUUCCUGGGUAAAACCAGGCAGAGUGCAAGGUGCUGCAUGGCUGUCGUCAGCUCGUGUCGUGAGAUGUUGGGUUAAGUCCCGCAACGAGCGCAACCCUUAUCAAUAGUUGCCAGCGGUUCGGCCGGGCACUCUAUUGAGACUGCCGUUGACAAAACGGAGGAAGGUGGGGAUGACGUCAAGUCCUCAUGGCCUUUAUGUCCAGGGCUACACACGUGCUACAAUGGCGAGUACAAAGCGCUGCAAACCUGCAAAGGGGAGCCAAUCGCAAAAAGCUCGUCUCAGUUCGGAUUGGAGUCUGCAACUCGACUCCAUGAAGCGGAAUCGCUAGUAAUCGCAGAUCAGCAUGCUGCGGUGAAUACGUUCCCGGGCCUUG